ACCAACUAGCCCACCAGUCUGUCCUUUUAAACUUCAUCUUUAGUUUAGCGCUGUGUUCCGUCUUGCUCUGUCAUCGUCUGUGUGAAUUUUUUGCGCUACUGUUCACAGUUAUGCAAUACCAACUAGCCCACCAGUCUGUCCUUUUAAAUUACAAACGUGUUUAUACAUGUGGUCAUAAUUAACUCAACAAGCAGGGUUAAUUGGUCUCUUGUUUAAAUAAAGCUUCCCUGCUCGGGAAUAGAACAAACUUUCACAACCACGGAUCGCAUGGGUUGCACAUGUCUAAAUGUUCUUAGCGAAGCAUCGGCCAGUAUGCUGGUCACACGCCAUCAUUUCAUGGUUAUGCCAGGACAGAGUCAUGAACAGCAAUGAGGGUGACAACAUCAUGUAGUGCCAUGCUCAAGAAAACUGUGUGGGGCUCUUAGUACAUCCUAUGGCAGCAUAAUCUUUUCUGGUGGCUUGGAAGUUCUUGUGGUGAUGAAUGCUGCCUAAUAUGUAUCAUACUUUAAAAACCCUGCCAGUCAGUCUUGUAUUACUGGUGCCCCACUUAAUACUGGUUUGCACACACUGUCACUGUGGUGCAACACCAUGAUGUGAUAGUGAGUGACAGUGUGGUCUGCACACACUGUCACAGUGGCACAACAGUGUGACACUAAAAUGUGACAGUGCGGUUUGCACACACUGUCACUGUGGUACAACAGUGUGGCACCAUGAUGUGACAAUGAGUGACAGUGUGGUCUACACACAGUCACUGUGGCACAACAAUGUGACUCUAAAAUGUGACAGUGUGGUUUGUUCACAGUGUCACUGUGGUGCAACAGUGUGACGCUAUGUUGUGACAAUGUGGUCUGCACACACUGUCACUGUGGCACAACAGUGUGACACUAAAAUGUGACAGUGUGGUUUGCACACACUGUCACUGUGGUACAACAGUGUGGCACCAUGAUGUGACAAUGAGUGACAGUGUGGUCUACGCACAGUCACUGUGGCACAACAGUGUGACUCUAAAAUGUGACAGUGUGGUUUGCUCAUAGUGUCACUAUGGUGCGACAGUGUGACGCUAUGUUGUGACAGUGUUUUGCAUACACUAUCACCACCACUACGCUUCACAUCUAUGUUUUAAAGAGACAGCACUGAAAUGUGCACCACUCUGGCUUGAAGACUUGAUAAGCCUUGCUGCAUGUGCAGCUAUGACAUUGACAGUGUAAUUUCGUAGCAGUUGGAUCUUCAUAGGCUAUAGAAUCUUACAAGUAUUUGGAUUUCUUAGAAUUGCCCUGCUUGGCGUACUGAUUCGUUUGGGUUUCAUUCUUAGCUGACUGUCAUAGCUGUCUUAGCUGCCUGUCAUGUUGCGCUCAUUCAAGCACCAACUUAGUGAAAAGCAAAAAAAAAAACAUUGCCUAAUGCGCACAUUAGUAACGACAGACUUGCACUUAGGUACCAUGUACUGAAGCAUGUAAAAGUGCCACAAGCGAGCAUUCUACACAAUCGCGCAACUGUCGUUGCCAAAAAGGUCACGCUGUCCACAUUUCAGAAGGAAUAACCUUUAACGCUUUUCUUUUGAGUGGCAGCGGUAGUGAUGUAAAUAUAUCAUGAGGUAAUGCAUAAACUUGUCCACAAAGAAAGCAUAGUGAAAUAGUUUUUAUUUAUUGUUUUAAUGUUUUGCCGGCUGAUUCUUUUUGCUCUUUUGGCUAACCUGUGCACAGUUCCUUUACCCAUAGAUGUGUUUUUUUUUUUGUAGGGGUGAGGAGGUGACAUGGAAAUGUUUUUAAAAAAUGAGUGUUUGUGUGUAAUCAUGAGAAAAAUUCUGAGCAACUGCCAAGACCUUGACUGCACUACCAUUUUCCACUGCUCUCUCGAAGUUUCCGUACAUGUCUCGUGUACAUAAAAGUGGGGCAUUCUAGAAAAGGAGAAAUAAACGAUCGGUUAAUUUGUGGUGAUUUUUUUUUUACCACCCAGCACAGCUCUGGAUAACAUGAUUCAUAACAUCCCAAAAUGUGACCCUUCGGGGUAAAAGGAAUAUUGUCCAAGGCUUUAAAAAAGUCAUAUCAGCAUUGAUCGUGUAGUUGCGAAUCUGUAAUAUUUCACCAACAUUCUAUAUGUCUUCAAGUUGAAAGUACCUGUGCUUGCUUUUGAGCGAAUGCAUUGCUAGGAACCAACAUUGGUUGGUCAUCAGGUUCGCCUCUUUCACGCCUCGUUUACAUCCAGGGAGCUCGAACGACUAAACAGUCUGCACUGGCGUACACCCUCUUUGUCAUGUUCAUCUAUCUAGUUGGGAAGCGUAGCGUUUCCGACAAUAACUACUGGAGGGAACUAGUGCUAGUGUCUGUGGGACCUUCAAGCAAGGUGGUUCAGACCAGAAUGGGAACGAUGGGUAGCACACGGAUUUACAUGAACUUAAUUCUUCCAGAACGGUUUUUCGGGCUAUUCGGUUAGAUACAUUUUCAGAAGUGUGCACUUAAAGACAUGUGCAAGAGUGUUGACUCAGUUGAAUGUUAGCACUCGUGUUGUUUGUUCCUCUUGUUCGUAUCUUCGAAUGCUAUGACCUCUCCAGAUUCGUUCUUGCGGCUUCGUACGACCUUUUUGCUUUAAAAACUGCCCAUUUACAACGAAAUAUUGCAUUAUGAAUGCAACGAUUUGUAAUGAUUAUGCUCGUGCACAGACCCAUAUUGCCUUCAUGCGCUUAGAGAAAUCUGAUCACUUAUAAAUUUAGGAAUAUGAUGUGGUAGUGCCUCCUCUACUGGUGACUAGAUUUAGCAGCAUCUAUAAAGAUAUAAGUACCAGAUGUUGUGUCUUUAUAUGAAGCUCCUUUUUUUGUUAGUAUGGGAUGCUUUAGUGUUUUCCAAGUACGUAAAUGAGUAGGUGUGCCUUCUCAACAUUUAAUUGGUAAUCACUCGCUUCCAUUAGCGCAGGAUAAGUGCACCACAGCAUUUUUAUCAGCUGUGACUUGACGCACUACUCAGUGAUAGAGGAAAGGCAGUUUCGCUUAGCGUUCGGUAAUGGUCCCAUUUUAUAAUGUGAUGUUAAAAAUGCACACUGGUGCUGUCUUGAACUUCAUUGGAAACUGUGUCUUAAGUCACUUUUUGAAUGUCAUCUGCGGGUGCGUUGGCUUUUCGUCCACUCUGCAUCUGCCAGGCACGUUAGCUUGGUGUUGAAUCGAUCAGAUAGCACAAGGGAAACGCUGUACUAGCUUUAGUUUUCAUCACGAACAGCCUUGUUACACAGAAGGAAUAUUAGCUAGCUUACCACCGAGCUUUGCGAAACGUGAAUCGAAAUACGUUGUUAGGCCUAACAACAUUGCAAGUAGUUUCUGUUGCUAAAAGCUAUACACAAGACAGAGACACAUGGCACAACACAUUAGCAUUGCAAAUGAUGUUAAAAGAGAGAGGGCGAUGCUUUAUCAGCGUUCAGCCGCUGCCUGCUUUGCAAAAUGAGAACUUUCAGUAAUCUCGCUUGUGUCACUGACGCUGGAAAACAGUAAUACACAAAGCCACCAGGACAUUGAAGCCACGAGCACGAAGGCUAGACAAAUCAGUGUAUUACCCAUUGUUCCCAGGGUAGCUGUAUGAUCAGUGCCAGAGUUGCCUCUAGUAAUUAUUUUAGGAAACUUAAGUGACACCACUUUUUAGCUCUUAGCAGCAUGUUUCAUGUUCAUGAAAUUUAUAAUGGAGGAAUGUUUUACGGACCAUGUACUUUUUUUCUUACCUAUGUGUGUGUAUAUAUAUAUGUGCAAUGUGGGUGACCAGCAACUUUGGACUGUUGUCCUUGUGCAAUUCUGUCAGAGGUGAUAGAUUUGAAUUCAAUACGAAGAGUGUCUUGACAUAUUGAAUGCGACUACAAUAGCUACGGAAAGUAUAACUACGUAUGCUUGUUGGCACACAAACAAGGAAGACAAGUCUAUGCAGUUGACAAAGUCUCGCAGGAUGACUACACAUGGGCACGUAACAUUAAUCAGUGCCUAAAGGAUGGCAACACUGCUACUUGUCGAGCGUGUAGCGUUUUCAAAAUCAGCAUACUGGCGUUAGCUGUAAGUAUGCUGCAUUUUGAGCUCCUGUGUUGUCACAGAGCUACGAAAUGGAACAUGUACUCAUGAACAGAGACCACUAGCCUGCUACCUUCUGGGCAGCCUCUGACUAUUUUGCCAGGCAUGGGCCAUUUCACAUGUUAACAGAAAAGACACUUGACAAUAAAAAUGUGAGAUGGCAUUAGUAUCAUGCCCUGAUUUUUCCCCCUGCCAAUUUCCCGACUUUUUUAAAUGGAUCGGUUUGCAAUUAAAUCAUGAGGUGCGUGCAUUGCACUUUGUGGGUAAUGAAUUCAGAAUAUGCAUGCCUGUCUUGCUUCUUGCAUGCUAAUGCAAUGUUAGUGGCAAUCAAUGCAAAGUAAUUCCUCUUGAUUGUGGUCCAGCAUGCUACCAUAGACAGCUUCGCUAUGCAUCACUUACUGUGUUGAUGUGGUAGCAUGCAACGAAGUGCUUCAGGAUGUUUUAAAGACCACAUAUCUUGCUCUACGAUUUUUUUCUUUCUUGCUGUCAUCUAUAUGCUCGUACUUUCUGGCAUUAAAGACAGUGCAGAUUGUUUCUGAAGAUGCAUAGCAGCGCUGCUGUUGCAGGAUUGAACCCUUGAUUAUGGUGAAGUGUAGUGUGGAUGUAACUUUGAAAAAAGAAAACAUGGGCAACUUCAUUGAAUGAUUGGAACAUGUCACUUGGAAGAGGAACACAAUUCUUGAGAGGUUGUAGCUUGUGGUUCGUAUCGAACUUGACUUAUGGCUGCAAUGAAACAUGUUCAUAACAUGUUUUGGGGGGAUGACACUGUUCAGUGUAACAGCGCCACAUGGUCACUAUUGAAGCCUGGCAAGGGUAUUCAAAUACCUGCCAAAUGAACUUCAGUCAUUUUGGUUUCUGGCUAGGCUGCCCCAUGAGCAGUGUGAAAGGGAACACCAGAUAAGGAUCCCACACUUCUGUUUCUCUUGAAUCCAUGGAGGUGCCACAGCACAGAUUCUUCGUCACAAUAACUGUGUUGCAAACAGUGGAAAAGCGACAUUCAGACUUGCUUGACUGUAGGAAUCAUUUGAGCUUGGAUUUGUUGUUUCCAUUUGUAUUGUGUUGAUGAAAAGUGUACAUACUGCCAUAUGCAGUUGUUAUUGGAGGUACACAACCCCUGGCUUGACGCAUUCGUCAGCCACGGACUUGUUUAAGCACGGAGUGUUUACUUGAAUGCCCAUUUUAAGUGAUUCUUUAUAGUUUUUGCUGCAAAGUUGUCAUCUCCCUCAUUUUUUAUUGCUUAUCGAUCAUGAAGGGUGCUUUCCAUGGCACUUCAGCUGUUUGUCAUUGUCAUUGCUUCUCUUUCCGGUUCUCCCAAUGUUGAACACUCACCUGUAGCUAAUAUACUGGCAGUAGUGGCCCACUGUGACGACCAAGUGAUGUGUGCUGUAUGUGUUUUUUGGCACCGACAAAAAACUUGGUAGCAACUCCCCAUACUCCCCACAAUUUGUAGUUGAAUCUCCAUUCUAUAUACAUAGAGGGGGCAUGUUCAAAUGCCACUUAGCGCUUAUGCAAAUGGUGAGAGUGUGUGCGUGUGUAUGUGUGUGCGCGUGUGUCAUGCAUUUGUGAGAUGUUGCACUUCACGGGACAUUGGUGGUGUUAUGUAUAGUGCGACUCGUACCCCACACGCAUGUCUGCUUUGUGAGGAUAGAUCGAAGCAAGUGCAUUGCUACCGCAAACUCGCGUGUGUGUCUCUUGGACGGCACGUGCAGUGGUAUGGAAUAAAGAUAUUUCUGCAUCCAAA
Molecule: long non-coding RNA, 5780 nt
Organism: Rhipicephalus sanguineus (brown dog tick)
Lineage: Eukaryota; Metazoa; Arthropoda; Arachnida; Ixodida; Ixodidae
Exons: 2
Source: RefSeq, a predicted model, not a curated record